Molecule: ribosomal RNA, 1147 nt
Filed under: Cosmocercoides tonkinensis
Lineage: Eukaryota; Metazoa; Nematoda; Chromadorea; Rhabditida; Cosmocercidae
Description: eukaryotic LSU rRNA
Rfam family: Eukaryotic large subunit ribosomal RNA
Source: RNAcentral
UUGACCUCAGCUCAGUCGUGAUUACCCGCUGAAUUUAAGCAUAUAACUAAGCGGAGGAAAGGAAACUAACGAGGAUUCCCCUAGUAACGGCGAGUGAACGGGGAAAAGCCCAGCGCUGAAUCCUUUAGCCUCAGGCUACCAGGAAAUGUAGCGUAUAGGUGCAGCUAUUCGUUCUCUUCGCGCACCCAAAGUCCCCUUGAGCGGGGCUACAGUCCAUAGAAGGUGCUAGACCUGUACGGGUGGCGAGGUGUUCGAUUUGUUGCUCCUUGGAGUCGGGUUGCCUGAGAUCGCAGCCCAAAGAGGGUGGUAAACCUCAUCUAAGGCUAAAUAUGACCACGAGACCGAUAGCAAACAAGUACCGUGAGGGAAAGUUGCAAAGAACUUUGAAGAGAGAGUUCAAGAGGGCGUGAAACCGCUGAGAUGGAAACGGAUAGAGUUGACGAAACUCGGCGGCAUUCAACCGGUCAGCUUAGUGGCCUUGCGGUUUUGCGCCUCGAUGAGGGCAAGGACGUGAGUGACUAUUGAGCACUUGAUUGGUGUAUUUGCCGUCGGUAUGCGCCGAGAGCCUCGGCUUCGUGCGCUGACGUGUGUGUAGUGGACCACUCCUUCCGGGCGUGGAACCCUGCGCAUAAUGAGGCGCAUCGGGGGUGAGGUUGGUAUACUGUCUCCGCUUUGGCGCAACGGUUGUUGCGUGUUGUGGUUGCUGUUGGGCGGUCGCGUGCGACUUGCCUAUAGUUAGCUGCGAUGCGUGGUGAUGCGGAUGCGUUGAGACAUGUGUCUCGGUGUGAACGUUGACCACCUAUCCGACCCGUCUUGAAACACGGACCAAGGAGUCUAGCAUAUGCGCGAGUCAUUGGGUGGAAAACCUAAAGGCGUAAUGAAAGUAAAGGUCGUCUUGAUGCGGCUGAUAUGGGAUCCGCACGGUUUCGGCCGGGCGGCGCACCAUAGCCCCGUCCCCGUUGCUUGCAAUAGGGCGGAGGUAGAGCGCAUACGCUGGGACCCGAAAGAUGGUGAACUAUGCCUGAGCAGGAUGAAGCCAGAGGAAACUCUGGUGGAGGUCCGAAGCGGUUCUGACGUGCAAAUCGAUCGUCUGACUUGGGUAUAGGGGCGAAAGACUAAUCGAACCAUCUAGUAGCUGGUUCCCUCU